CCGUAACUUCGGGAGAAGGAGUGACUUUUGAUGGGCAACCAUUAAUAGUCGACACAAAAUCGAAGACAGCAACUAUUUAGUAAAAAUACAGGUCAUUGCUAACUCGUAAGAGGACGUAUAAUGACUGACACCUGCCCGGUGCUAAUCGUAUAAGGGGAGAAGUCUUGGCUUCAAACUGAAAUCCUAGUAAACGGCGGCUAUAACUCUGAUGGUCCUAAGGUAGCG
Molecule: ribosomal RNA, 225 nt
Filed under: uncultured Bolidomonas
Lineage: Eukaryota; Bolidophyceae
Description: partial Bacterial large subunit ribosomal RNA
Rfam family: Bacterial large subunit ribosomal RNA
Source: RNAcentral